UACGUAGGGGGCAAGCGUUGUCCGGAAUUAUUGGGCGUAAAGAGCUCGUAGGCGGUUUGUCGCGUCUGCCGUGAAAGCCCGGGGCUCAACUCCGGAUCUGCGGUGGGUACGGGCAGACUAGAGUGAUGUAGGGGAGACUGGAAUUCCUGGUGUAGCGGUGAAAUGCGCAGAUAUCAGGAGGAACACCGGUGGCGAAGGCGGUUCUCUGGGCCUUACCUGACGCUGAGGAGCGAAAGCGUGGGGAGCGAACAGG
RNAcentral lists this ribosomal RNA (253 nucleotides) under uncultured bacterium. Its description in RNAcentral is "partial 16S ribosomal RNA". It matches the Rfam family "Bacterial small subunit ribosomal RNA", at positions 524 to 776 of the family's 1533-position model. The record is from RNAcentral.